GAUGAACGCUGGCGGUGCGCCUAACACAUGCAAGUCGAGCGAGAUUGAUUUUGAGUUUACUUAAGAUCAUGAAAGCGGCGGACGAGUGAGUAACACGUAAGAACUUGCCCCAUACUCAGGGACAACCGGCCGAAAGGUCGGCUAAUACCGGAUAGUCUCGAAAGAGUAAAGCUACGGCGGUAUGGGAGAGGCUUGCGGUUUAUCAGCUAGUUGGUAAGGUAAUGGCUUACCAAGGCUAUGACGAAUAUCUGGUGUGAGAGCAUGACCAGACACGAUGGGACUGAGACACGGCCCAU
This 296-nucleotide ribosomal RNA is filed under the name uncultured bacterium. RNAcentral describes it as "partial 16S ribosomal RNA". It matches the Rfam family "Bacterial small subunit ribosomal RNA", at positions 28 to 334 of the family's 1533-position model. The record is from RNAcentral.